CGUCUAUAUACGUAUAGCAUAUCAAUAAGCGGAGGAAAAGGAGUAUACCUACGCUUAGGAUGUUGAAGAUGUAGCACAUCAUACACGCAUGACACACUGCAUAUCAAUAAGCGGAGGAAAAGAAACUAACUAGGAUUCCCUUAGUAACGGCGAGUGAAGCGGGAAGAGCUCAAAUUUGAAAUCUUCAAGGUUCUACCUUGACGAAUUGUAGUUUAAAGAAGUGUUUUCUGUUGGAAUUUUGGUAAAAGUUCUUUGGAAAUAGGACAUCAUAAGAGGGUGAGAAUCCCGUAUUUGACCAUUAUUUCCAACUUUGUGAUACACUUUCAAAGAGUCGGAUUGUUUGGGAAUGCAGUCCAAAAUGGGUGGUAAAUUUCAUCUAAAGCUAAAUACUGGCAAGAGACCGAUAGCGAACAAGUACCGUGAGGGAAAGAUGAAAAGAACUUUGAAAAGAGAGUUAAACAGUACGUGAAAUUGUCAAAAGGGAAGCGUUUGACACCAGUGUUGUUUUCUCGAAAAUCAAUUAAAAAUGGCGGGAUGUUGUGUUGUAUUGACUUUAUCAGCUUUCUGCACUUUUUUCCUAUCUUUUUUAAUGCACUUUUCGUUUAACAAGUCAACAUCAAUUUCUUUUGUUGUAAAAGAGUCAUUGGAAGGUGGCUUUCUUUUCGGAGAAAGUGUUUAUAGCCUUUGACUUCUGCAGUCGGAGAGAUUGAGGUCUGCAGCGUAGAUCCUUCGGGGUUAGAUACAUUUGUGCUAAGCUAUAGCCUUUCAUAGACAACUUGUUGACUAUGAUCAGUCAUGUAGCUUACUCGCUUAUGCUAUUUUACCUACGCUUAGGAUGUUGACGAUCAGCUGAGCGCG
RNAcentral lists this ribosomal RNA (858 nucleotides) under uncultured Neocallimastigales. Its description in RNAcentral is "partial large subunit ribosomal RNA". It matches the Rfam family "Eukaryotic large subunit ribosomal RNA", at positions 1 to 628 of the family's 3401-position model. Lineage: Eukaryota; Fungi; Neocallimastigomycota; Neocallimastigomycetes; Neocallimastigales. The record is from RNAcentral.